This is a long non-coding RNA of Grammomys surdaster, 1318 nucleotides long. RefSeq lists it as uncharacterized. Lineage: Eukaryota; Metazoa; Chordata; Mammalia; Rodentia; Muridae. The transcript is spliced from 4 exons. The record is from RefSeq and is a predicted model, not a curated record.
AGCAAGAGUAAGAAGUAUUGGCAGCAGCAAGCAGGCGGGCAGGCUGAGAUCUUGCGUGCAAAGCAUGAACUCUCUCUUGCUUUUCGUUUUUGAAACGUUUUGGGAGGAGAGUUAUGAAUAGCCCAGAAAUAGGUCUCAUUUUAUGGGUAGGAAGAAUGACCAGAAGCAUGAAAGCUAAAUCUCCUAGCAAGUGCAGGGUACCACUCUUGGACUGUGCAGUAAACCCAAGGGGAGGACUUUGCCUGCUGUGAACUCCUGAACCGUCACAUCUAGAGUGAAGGGGCUGGUGAAGCUUUGUAAUAAAUGCAAAGGAUGCUGCCGAGAGAGCUUUGGUCUGCCUUUAACUCAUUGUGGCAAAGUUGGACAUCCCAAAGAUGGCAUAGAUGAACAUGACCAGGAAAAGCAGGAGGCCGAUGUUGAACAGGGCAGGAAGGGACAUCAUCAGAGCAAAGAGCAGUGUGCGGAUCCCCUUGGCGCCUUUGAUCAGGCGUAGGAUUCGUCCAAUCCUGGCCAGGCGUAUGACUCGGAACAGGAUGCUACUUUCGGUCUUUACUGAGAAACUGCUCUUGCCAGUGAAAGGUAGUGAAUGAAGAGAUGCUUGGCUGCUGAAGACACUGAGAAUGACAGCUGGGUGCUCAGCUCAGAUGGACAUUCAUAUCCUUCUCCAAGGUUCUAGGAACAAAGCUGUGGUAGUGACAGGAAGAGUGUGAGAGCCUAGAAGACAGGGAUGGGAGCUAUGAAAUUCUGUGCUGUACUAACAACACAAUCGAUGCAAUCAUGACAUUAUGGAAGCAGAGGCCAGCAGUAGGCUUGUGCAAGACCGAGUCUGUCAGCAUUCAUUCAUAUAUAUGGAGAGCCUUUGUAGCCACAUCCUGCUGAAUUAUGAGCUACUGAUGGAUUCUGUACGAGGGGCAGACAUUGUCUUCAGCACCAGGCUAAACUUCUUCGAUGUUGGCCUGGUUCUGUUCCUCGUACGCCAUGGCUACCACAGCCAGGAUCAAGUUUAUCAGAUAAAAGGAGCCCAGAAAAAUCACCACGACAAAGAAAAUCAUGUAGGUUUUGCCAGCAGCACGCAGAGUCUAUGGGAUCAAAAAAGAGAAAUGGUUAUUUUAGUAAUACAAAAAUUUCACUAAGGUUUUUUAUUGUGGUUGGUAUAUAAUGAACAUGUAAACCAGAUAUUUUUCAUUUAAUUGUGUUAUAGACAGAUAAAUGAACAUGCUAUCUUUGAAGAAAAUCAGUAUUAAACAUUUUAGUAUAAAAGAUACAGCAAUGUUAUAUCUAUACUAAGGUUUGAUUUUUCAUUAGAAUGAAAUAUAAU